GGACAGAGGUGCACCCAGGUACUGGGGUGGGAUACGUAUGUGGACAGAGGUGCACUCAGGUACUGGGGUGGGAGACGUAUGUGGACAGAGGUGCACCCAGGUACUUGGGUGGGAGAUGUGUGGACAGAGGUGCACCCAGGUACUGGGGUGGGAUACGUAUGUGGACAGAGGUGCACUCAGGUACUGGGGUGGGAGACGUAUGUGGACAGAGGUGCUUGGCUCA
This is a long non-coding RNA of Haliotis rubra (blacklip abalone), 223 nucleotides long. RefSeq lists it as uncharacterized. The transcript is spliced from 2 exons. NCBI's taxonomy places the organism in Eukaryota, Metazoa, Mollusca, Gastropoda, Lepetellida, Haliotidae. The record is from RefSeq and is a predicted model, not a curated record.